UGAUACCAAGGGCCUUGUUAGCAGGCACAGUGAAACCCAAGUCAAGAAGCAGUGCCUCACCACCAAGAGAAUGUACCUCAGUAACCGUGUGGCAGGCGUGAUCUGGAUCUUCUACAUCAGGAUCCUUCUUGUAGAUGCGGAACCAGGUCCUACUGGAUGGAUCACUCUCAACCAACAAAACCUCUCCUGAUGAUGUUGUAACCGCAAUGCUAGAAUCGUACCUCUGAUCAUGACGAGAAAGCAUUGGGAAUGGUGUUUGACCGGUAAUGUCCUUGAAGAAACCUUGCGGUCCAGACAGAUCAAAGACUCGAACAAAACGACGACUUGUUGAGACGUAGAGGCGGGUACCACAUAGCACCAUAUCCGACAAGCCAUCAUACUUGUGAAAGGCAUAGUCAUCGAAAACGAGAGGAAUGUCAGUGUAAUGAGAAUCCCCAUUCUUGCAGAAGCUCAUGUAAGAGUGGCCAGGGAGGUCGAAGAGCCACACCACGACGUACUCUUUUCCACUCUCCGAAACCCACAAAAGUCCCCUCACCACAUCAGCACUCAGAUCCCCGUAAAUAGCGCCAGACUCCUCCCUUAUAAAUUCUCUAUCUCCCACGCGCUUGACAAUACAAUCAGCUGACUCAAUCGACUCUAGAGACGGAAGAGGGAUCGUUUCCUUACUACACACGUCUAUGAUAUAUAAAUUGGAACCAGAAUCUAACACCAACAGCCAGUUGCCCGAGUUUGCCAGGAAUCUACACCCUGGAAAGUCUCCCAGGUUAGUCUGGAUAUUGCCUUCUAUAGGGUCGUACAGCACACAACCACCGUCUCUCGGAAAAAGCAUCAGCCCUGGAGAUCUGCUUGACUGGGGGAUCGUCAGCUUUAAACUCCGAUGUUGAUCCGGCAAAUUCAUCGUGAGGCAGAUUCUAGCGUUUGUGGCCUGAACAGUCACUGUGUAUAUAUAUAUAUAUAUAGAGUCAAUUAGCUAAAAACACAUAAAAAGGAAAAAAAUAAGGUUUUGUUGAAAAAAGGAAAGUAAAAAAUUACGUAAGGGCAUCAGCAUUGCUAGAUAUGCAAUUGCAUAUCUUAGUAUUACUUUAAUAAUAUAAUUAGGUUAAGAGAUUUUGGUAAGAUACAUGAGUAAAAGUAAAGAUUAUUGGUAGAAGUUUUGGUAGGUUCUUAGCAAAAUAUUAAAUUUUGUUUUUUUUGUAAAUUGUUUGGUAGGAUUUUAUGAUAAAACAUAUAACAUUAAACAUAUGAAUAUUACAAAGUUGAAAAAAAAAAUUACAAAGUAGAAAAAAAAAUUACAAAGUUGGAAAAAAAUUACUGAUACUGUUAAAAAAAAUUACAAUAACAUAAAAGUCACCGAUUUUAAUUUUAAGGUCCAAAUUUAUCCCAUAUAUGUUCGAUCAAAUCAUGUUUCAAUUGUUGAUGGACUGGUCUAUCCCGAACUCUUGCUCGACGAUCAAGUGAACUAAAAAUCUCUGUAGGCAUCUUAACGCAAAAUGAAACAUCCUGAUCUUGAAACGUCUCAUCUUGAUCGUCUGUACGUCGUUCAUCUUCGACAAUCAUAUUAUGGAGUAUGAUACAUGCUCUCAUAAUAUUGGCUAUCUUCGAUUUUUUCCAUAAACUAGAUGGAUUUUUAAUAACGGCGAAUCUAGCUUGUAGGACUCCAAAGGCACGCUCAACGUCUUUUCGGACUGAUUCUUGGGCUGUAGCAAAUAGGGAAUGUUUUGGACCCUGUGGUAGUCGGAUAGAUCGAAUAAAUGUCGCCCAUUCUGGAUAAAUACCAUCAGUGAGAUAGUAGGCCAAAUUGUACUCCCUUCCGUUAACAUGGAAGUUGACUUCCGGAGCAACUCCGUUAAUAAUGUCAUCAAAAACAGGUGAUCGAUCAAGAAUAUUUAGAUCGUUCAUAGUACCUGGAGCUCCAAAAAAUGCAUGCCAUAUCCAGAGGUCAUAAGAAGCUACGGCCUCGAGGACAAUCGUUGGUUUAUCGGUUCCUCGUGAAUACAUACCAUGCCAAGCGGUGGGGCAAUUCUUCCACUCCCAGUGCAUACAGUCGAUGCUUCCAAUCAUCCCGGGAAAUCCACGUUGUUCUCCCUUAUGUAGUAGUCUUUCAAGAUCCUCCGGUGUUGGACGUCUUAGGUAUUCAUCGCCAAACAAGUCGAUAAUUGCGGCAGUAAAUUGGUGCAAGCAAUUCCGCGCUGUUGUUUCACCAAGUCGAACAUAUUCGUCUACCGUAUCGGCCCCACCACCAUAUGCUAAUUGACGAAUUGCGGCCGUGCAUUUUUGGAUCGGUGAUAGACUUGACCUUCCAAGUGCAUCUUGUGUAGGAGCAAAAUAGUGAACUUCCGUAGAGAGACGGUGGACAAUGCGCAUGAACAACGGCUUACUCAUUCGAAACCGUCGCCGGAAUAUAUUGGGCGGAUAUGUUGGAGUUUCCGAAAAAUAAUCAUUCCAGAGCUUUCGAUGGCCUUCUUCCCGGUCUCUCUCGAUAAAUAUACGUUUUUUCCGCUCUUUCGGUUCCAGAAUAGUAUCAGGGAUUUCUAAUAAAUCUUCAAAGACUGAUUCAAAUUCAUCAUCAUUGUCAUCAUUAUUGUGGUAAUGGUAAUGAGAUGAAGAUGCCAUUUUUAGGGAAAAAAAAUUAUAGUGUUGAAAUGAGUAGAUGAAAUUGCUUUAGAGAAUUGAAAUGAGUAUAUGUUGAAUGAUCGAACGUUCUCUCAUAUUUAUAGAGAACCAUAUGUCUUCCCGUGUUGUGUUUCUUUUCAAAUUAUACACGGGGUGGAUUCACGGGUAUGAGUGAUGUUUUGGAUUUUCAUGAUGUUUUGGAUUAUAAUUCACGGGUAAGGAGUUUUAUAAAGGUCACGGGUAUGGGGUUUAUAAAGAUCACGGGAUUUGUAGAGGAAAGAAACAAAAUAGCUUUGAUUCAAAAGUACUAAAACACGACUUACAAAAUAGCAUUGAUACAAAGCUGAUAACACGUAGAGGAAAGUUGAAGAUGAUAAUACGACAUUACAUAACAUAGCCAAGUCUCGCAAACCAUCGUCUUGCAUCACUUAAAGGCGAUCAACAGACCUAUUACAACUAAAACUAUGAGCAUUACACCAAUAACUACUUCAACCCCACCGAUAACAGUAGAUUUCUUCUUAGCUAAUUUCUCCUCAACUAACUUCUCUAGUCUAACUAGCUUCUCCUCUGUCUCAAGGUCAGACAUUAAGUUAAGAUUAUCUACCUUUUCCUCUAAUAGAAAUAGCUGGUUUUCCCUCGCCUUCAUCUCCUCCAUCACGGCGACGUCCCACCACUUCCAUACAUGGCAGUCGCCGUCAUCAACGUGGUCGCAUGUGUAGUACAGUCUCCCUGGAUCGGUGCUUGUUCUUGAUGUUGCUAAACGUGGUUGGCCACCACAGUAACAAGUGUGUGGGAAACCGAACUCCACCUCGGGUUGCGGAGGAUACGUAGCCACUUCACCAUAAUUCAAGCUUAUUUCAGCUUGGUCACGACGGAUUAACUCCUCCGUCUCGCUGUACCCACUGUCAGCCCUGUCACCAUACGGAUCCGAGCUUGAAGGUUGGCUGUAGCUGUACCUUCCCAUAGAUACUAAACCUGCAAAAACAAUUAGAUGGCCAAGGUUAAUGAACGAUGACAGUAGAAAUACAAACCAGAGAACAAACACAAAGGAUUUAUACCAAGAUUGCAACCAGAGAACAAACAGACAUACAUUGAUCUUCAACACAUACAUUAAUAAAACAGAGACAUAUAUUAAAAAAAAAAAACAGAAAAGCAAACACCAAGCUUUUUUAAAAACAAGGGAAGAACUAUUUCUCAGAACAACAGGUUUAGUAGCUUAUUCUUGACAACUUCUUCAGCCACACUCAGUGGUUCUGUUCUGGCUAAGAGAGUGUCUAGAAUAGCGAGCUUUGAUAGUCUCUCCUUCCUAUCCAAAUCAUCCUUCUUCAUCUCCCAAUCUUCCCUCUUCAUAUCCAUAAUUGUUGCAUACUCAGCCACUGACUUUCCUUUACCCGUGUUCCUAUUAGCCUUAGCGGCCUUUAUACCUUCAGGCCGGACCUCAUCAUCAGCAGCAGUCGUGUUUGUACUCUGACAAGGAGUCUCACAACCUUUUCGUUUAGAAGUGCCACUAGGUUUAGGAGUGUUGAGGCUUAGCCACUUUUGUUCAAACCUCAGAAGACACCACGCAUGCUCUAGAGUAAAUUUCUUCUUGUGAUCAGCGAAGUAGAUGUCGUGUGCCACCUUGAGAACAUCGUUCUCACUUUGACCAGAGGUGAUCUGUCUCUCUGCUGCUGCAUAUGCAGCACAGAACUUGUUAGUGAAAUCGUUAAUCUUGUGCCACCUCUGCUUUAUAUUGAGAUGCUCUCUUCGGUCACCACUCUGUACAGCAUGUGGAGAUGCAGCAUAAUAUUCACCAACUCGGGACCAGAAAGUGCCUAGCUUCUGUGAAUUUCCUACAACCGGGUCUUUAGACGUGUUUAUCCAAGCGCUGAUUAUAACCUCGUCAUCGGCUGGUGUCCACUUCUUUCUCUCCUUAGAGCCCACUGGUGUCUCGGUUUCUUGUGAACUAAAAGGAGGGAUCUCUGAUGACUGUUGUGAUUCUCCAAUGUGGACACCCGGUUGGUAACUUUCAUAAGAAAAGUUCUGACUGUUAAGGAGGCCGACUAAACUAGGGGACUGACCAUAUGGAUUCAAUGGAUUCCUUGAAUCCAUAACGAUUACAAUAAAAGAGAUUAAAUAAGAGAGACCCGAUAGAAACCGGAGACUAGUUUGAUUUAGAAAACAAGAGUGAAAGAAGGUGGUUGUUAAAUAGAUGAGAAAGUUAAGGAUGGUCAGUAAUUACCUAACCAUAAACAACCAGGGUCUAAUCAUCAGUUACUACACCCAUAGCAACCAAAAAAAGCAAUCAAGUAACUAAAUUAUAUUGCCACAUUAUUUACUACACACAUUGCGGUUAGAAACAAACAAGAUCCAAUCAUAUAGCCACAAACAAACAGAUUAUACUAGUCUAGACUACGACCAAACAAACUAAAACACCAAACCAUUUUUAAAGCGCGAACCAUAGUAACAAAAUCUUUAACCAUCUCACAUAAAUAGAAAUCCUCAUUAAAUUCCUCCUAACAGUUCACUCAACUACAAAGCAUUCAAGUUCCUCUUACAGCAUUCAAGUAAUAACUCUUCACACAACUACAAAGCUAUACCCAAAUCACUUCACACAAGUACAGCUAUGUAAGCAGUCCUUCACCACAAUUCACUUCAAUUUUGGAUCACACAUCAACACAGACCAUGCUUUUACUAUUUUUUAAAACCUUUAACCUCAUUAAAACGUUUACCUACCAGACGAUCUAAGGCAAAAAGAUCCUUUCUUUAUAUUCACAGAACUCAUUUUCUCAUUGUAAAGCAAAUGAGAAAACAUGUUUAAUUUAUAAAGAAACCAUUCUUUGUCUUAAAGAACACAUAAACAACUCAUCGAUUCAACAAAAGAAAACAUGUUUAAUUUACAUAACAAGUCAAGGAAAGUAGAGGACAACUCAAGUUGAUUAACACAGAAUGAUUAACCAACCCAUUCUUAACAACUCUACUAAAGGAAUCGAUUAACACAAAAACAACUCAAGUUUAAUUAACUACCAUACGAAUCCGAAGAAAACUUUUACUCCAACGAAUUCACAAAUCAGUAAAUUAACUCACUAAUAAGACAAUGAAUCAGUCAAUUCCACUUCCUAUUAAGCAUACAACAAGCAAACGGAGUAGAGAGAACGAAGACACACCUGGUUUCGGAGGAGAAGGUUUCGAUGUGAGAGAGAAGUGGGAGACGUUGAGAAUCGUCACAGAUUUCGAUUUCCCACUACAAUACCCAAGCAUGCAAGAUCAAAUCAAACCCACAAACCAAAAAAAAAAAAAAUGGUGAUUAAAUCUGGGAAAAUCGCAACAGGGAGAUCACAGAAGAACCCGUACCAGCGGUAGAUUAGAUUCGGCGGAGAGGAUGACGAUUUAACGAGAGCUCGGUGUCGGAUUUUUCUUGCCAGAUUGCGAGACUGAAUCCCCCGUCGAGAUUGAAGAAAGAGAGAGAGAGGAGACGAGAAGAAUGAAGUCGAGAAUGCUCGAUACCUCCUCGACCUCUACCCCUUCGGUCUUCCUAUCAUCUCUUGACACGUGCAACCGAAGGACGCGUUGAGAAAGUUCUAAUUUUGUUAACGUCCCACGAUUAUUACCUUAAUUUGUAUUUAUUUUUUUCCUCUUAUUUGUUAAGAUACGUGAUAAGAUGCUGCGAUGCUGAUGCCCUAAGUACCUAUAACACUAAAAAGUGAAGUUUCCAUAUAAUAUAAAGAUAUAGUAAGUUACUUCUGUACCCAUACGAAAAUUUGCUCUUGAUUUUCUUACCUAAGAUAAAAAAAAAUAUUAAAAAUUUGUUAAAUUUUUUUAUAUUUAUCUAGAUUUUGUAAUCCAAACAUGAGUGGUUCGUUUCUCCAUCCAGAUAAGCUAUCUGAGUGAAAUGAGAGUUUUGUUCGUUUAGACAUUAAAAAUAUAAGUCAUCUGGAUGGCUCAUCUGAAUGAGUUUUAAAAAUUUAGGUUUAAUUUUGAAAAUCACAUCCAAAUUGGAUCAUCUAGAUGGAUGGAGAUGAGUUUGUCAAAAUCGUAUAAUGUCUAUUAUACGUUCUGUAUGUAAUUAACAAAUUACAAACUCAAACCUAAUAUCUUUUUAUCACUCAUUAAAUACGACAAAACCAUAAAAAAAAACUUUUUUCCACUAAAACUGCAAAACACUUUUUUCGCCAAAACAACAACACAAUUUUUCACCAAAAUCGCACUUUUUCAUAAAAAUAUACUUUUCCGCCAAAUCAGAUUUUUCCGUCAAAACCAGAAAAAUGCACUUUCACUUCAAAGCACGUUUUCCCGCAAAAACUGCAAACUAGCAAAAACAUGUUUCCCGCCAAAACCGCAAAAGCGUAUUUUUCCGCCAAAAAUGUAAAAACUCGUUUUCCCACAGAAACCGUAAAAACGCGGUUUCUUGCCAAAAACACAAAAUUGCAAAAUGUAAUUUCCCACAAAACCGCAAAAACAUGUUUUCCGCUAAAACCGUAAAAACGAAGUUUCCUGCCAAAACCGCAAAAAACGCGUUUCCCACAAAAACCGUAAAGUCGCAUUUUCCCGUCAAAACCGCAAAACACGUUUUCCGCUAAAACCGUAAAAAUGAAGUUUCCUUCCAAAACUGGAAAAACACAUUUUCCCGCCAAAACAACAAAAAACGCGUUUUCCGCCAAAAACGUAAAAUUGCAUUUUCCCGCCAAAACCGCAAAAAUACUUUUUCCGCUAAAACGAGGUUUUCUGCCAAAACCGCAAAAUGCGUUUUUCCGCAAAAACUGCAAUACGCAGUUUCUUGCCAAAACUGCAAAAACGUAUUUUACUGCCAAAACCGCAAAAACGCCCCCCUCCCCCCCCCCAAACCGNNNNNNNNNNNNNNNNNNNNNNNNNNNNNNNNNNNNNNNNNNNNNNNNNNNNNNNNNNNNNNNNNNNNNNNNNNNNNNNNNNNNNNNNNNNNNNNNNGCAAAAACGCCCCCUCCCCCCAAAACCGCAAAACGUGUUUUCCAGCCAACACCACAAAAUUGUGAUUUCUUGCCAAAACUGCAAAAGCGUAUUUUACUGCCAAAACCACAAAAACGCGUUUUCCCGCCAAAAUAUAUUUCCUGUCAAAAUCGCAAAAAACGCGUUUUUCCGUAUAUAUAUCAUAUACGAUAGAUAAGAUUGAUUGGUUUGAUUUAUUUAAUCUAAAAUGAUUGCGAAUAAACAAGAGCGGUCAUUUGAUUAUAUGUGUAAGCCAAUUUAUUAUAUAAUAGUAACUGAUUUCUUAGUUAUUUAAUAUAUAAUUAUUAUUUUAUUAUUUUAUAAUAUGCAGAAAAAUAUAAAAUAAGUGUUUAUGCACAAUGCGCAGAUCUUAACCUAAGUAUGUAUCUAUUUAAUAGUUUUGAAUUUUAAACAUUUUCUAAAUCCCAUUCCAAAAUAAAAGAAAGAAAUGAGAAUAAACUCAAAAAUCAAUAUUUAUAUCGAACAAUAACCAAAAUGACACAAAAUAAGAAAAAUAUCGAAGAUAGAUAGGAUUGAGUCGAUUGACACGUGAACGUAAAAUUCUCAUAACCAUAAUUAACUUUUAAAUUGCUAAAUCAUGAUAUAAAAUCGAGCUAGCAUAGUUUCAUUGUAACCAAAUAGUAGACAUGAGAUUCUUCGGCCUAAACGUUACGUUUUUAUGCGAUAAAUAAUUUUUGGACCUAAAAUAUUUUUAAAAAUGAUCAGUUCAUUAGUAAACAAAAUUAUUUAAUUAACAAAAAAGUUUUUAAAAAUUGUUUAAGGGCCAAAUAUAUUAAUUCGAUCAAUAAUAUAAAUUUUGUUUAAUACGAUAUUUCUUAAAUAGUUUUCAUAUAAAUUUAUCUUGCGCAAGGCGCAUGUCUUAUCCUAGUUUAAUUAAGAUAACGGUAAUUUAAACCUAUCAAUAAUUAGAAAUAAAAAGUUAAUCAAUUAUAAUCCCAUAUAUAUUAAUUGAGCAAUAUUCGAAAAGAUGUAACCUGAAUUUUAUAAUAAUUAAAAAAGACUUCUUGCUUAUGUGUCAAUCAAUUCGGUAGUUAAUUAAUCUUACGUGUCAGCCUCACAUUGAAAUUGAAAAAAAUGUUGGUCCAAUUCAAUUUUUAUAUUUCACUAGAAACAUUUAAUACCAACUAUAUGAUAUCAUAUGAUAUUAACUAAAUCAAAGUGGCUAUUUAUUAUAUAUUAUAUCCUUAAAUAAAACCUACGGAAUUACCUAAUGAUUUUAAAUAAUAUAUUAAAAAGCAUAAUUCCCAGAAGGGAGAAACCAUCGAGCAUCCAUAAGAUUCAUCUUGUCAAGAUCGGGAAAGCGAUGGAGAGUCUUCGUUGCAAGAUUGAACACACAGAUGUCAAGGUCGGGAGAUGCGCAUUGGCAGGGACGAUAGUGACGGGUGAAAUAGAUGGAGUCUGGUUUGAUAUCAAGGGCCUUGUUAGCAGGCACAGUGUAACCCAAGUCAAGAAGCAGUGCCUCACCAUCAAGAGAAUCUACCUCAGUAACCGUGUGGCCAAAGAGAUCAGGGUUUUCAAUAUCUGGAUUCUUCUUGUAGAGGCGGAAGCAGGUCCUAUUGCAUGGAUCACUCUCAACCAACAGAACCUGCCCUGAUGUUGUAACCGCAAUGCUAGAAUCGUAUGACAUAUCUGCAGAAAGCAUUGGGAAUGGUGUACCGUCGGUAAUGUCCUUGAAGAAACCUUGCGGUCCAGACAGAUCUAGGACUCGAACAUAACGACGACUUGUUGAGAGAUAAAGACGGGUACCCCAUAGCACCAUCUCCGACAAGCCAUCUAACCAGUGCAAGUCUUGGUGGUGAAACAGUGGAAUGUCAGUGUAAUGAGUAUCCCCAUUCUUGCAGAAGCUCAUGUAAGAGUGUCCAGGGAGGUCGAACAACCACACCACGACGUACUCUUUUCCACUCUCCGAAACCGAGUGUCCAGGGAGGUCGAACAACCACACCACAACGUACUCUUUUCCACUCUCGGAAACCCACAAAAGGCCCCUCACCACAUCAGCACUCAGAUCGCUGAAAAUACUGUCAGAAUCUUGCCUUACAAAUUUUCUAUCUCCCACACUCUUGACAAUACAAUCAGCUGAAUCAAUCGACUCUAGAGACGGAAGACGGAUCUUUUUUCUCGCUAAACGCAUCUACGAUGUACAAACUGGAUCCUGAAUCUAACAACAAGAGCCAGUUGCCCGAGUUUGCCAGGAAUCGACACCCUGAAAAGUCUCCAAGUUUCCUUUGGAACGUGCCUUCUUUCGGGUUGUACAGCACACAACCACCGUCUUUCGGAAAAAGCAUCAGCCCUGGAGAUUCGUUGCGUCGUUUGAGGGAAGAAGUCAUUAUCAGGAGGCAGAUUCUCGCGUUGCAGUUAUUGUGUGUAAUAUAGGGUACCGCUUAGGGUUUGUGGCACACACUGAAAAAGUGAUAGUUUGUUAUUAGUCCCAUUUUUUUUUCUCUUUUCCUAUAUGAACAAAUACAACAUUUUUUUUUUAACAACAUAGCUUUAUUUAAUUAGAUUGUGAAAGGAUAAUACAAAUAUUUAAUCAACCAAACAGGAGGAAUAUGAAAACUAACAGAAGAAAUAACUUGUUGAGUUGCUUUUCUUGCCAAAGCAUCAGCCGCUUGAUUCUUUUCUCGAUUAACAAAUUCCAGUGAACUUUCCGGGAGCAUCAUCAUCCAAUAUCGAAUAUCACAGAUCAAGUUGCCAAUUUCUAUAUGAUCCUUCACUUGAUUUAUAAUAUUGCAUAAUUCCUUAUUAUCACCUUCGAACCAAACUCUUUGCAAUCCCCGAAUCCAAACUUGCUGGAGAGCAUAUAAAAAACUCGAUGCUUCACCCACAAGCGAAGACUGUUGCCUUUCCAAUUGCGCGUAUCCAGAUCCCAGAUGACACCCUUUAUCAUCUCUCAAUAUCCAUCCUAAACCAGCUUUAUCAUUGUUCCCAGAGCUAUAAUCAAAGUUACAUUUAAUCCAGCCACUGGGGGGCGGCUCCCAUUUUGAGGAUUUAACUUCUAUAACUCGGUGUUGUUGUCCAGGUUGAAUAACAUUACGAUGCCAUUCAAUAUUAGCAUCCAUCGCACGGCGGACAUCCUCUAUAGGAUGUACAUUUCUCUUGGAGAAGAUAAACUCAUUUCUUGACUUCCAAAUCAACCACAACAUCCAGAAUACAAGUAACUUGUUUAUUUCAUGAUCGCCCAUUGACUCCAUCACCCCAAAAAGAUUUCUAAUAUUAUCUUCCAGAUUAUUAGAAAAAUUUUGAGUAACAAGCAUACCUGAACAACGCCAGAUUGCAUAUGCGUGAGGGCAUAGGAACAACACAUGAUUAAUGGAUUCAUCAUCAAGGCAACAUCUUUGGCAUGUUGGAUCCAUAUUAAUUCCCCGCGUACAUAAUCUAGUAGCAGUAGGAAGAGCUCCUGAUACCACCCUCCAUAGAAAUUGCUUAACUUUUGGGAGAAUAUUCAAAUCCCAUAUCUUUUUCUUUACUUCCAGUGAUCCAUCGGGUCUCAAUAUUUCCUCCCCCUCAUGAUAAUGGUGAGUAGCAGCCCAGUACCCAGAUUUGACAGUAUAUUCCAUAUCCUUGGUAAAAGGCCAUACGAGCUUAUCUUCUGUAGGGUAUCUAGACAACUUGAUCUUCAAAACCUGAACUAUAUCCUGCGGCUGUAAAAAUUCUUCUAGUUUCUGAAGAUCCCAAGAAAAAGUUUCCUUAUCAAUAAAAUCCUCCACCUUCAUAUUUUGAUUAUAAGAAACUUGUACAACACGUCUUGGAGGAUUUUCCGGUAACCAAUGAUCUAACCAAACAUUAGUGUUCUUUCCAUCUCCAAUCAUUGUUCUCAAACCUUUUUGAAGUAGUUCCUUUCCUACUUGAAUAGACUUCCAGCCAUAAGAGGCUUGCUUUGAAUUCGAUGACUGUAAGAAUGUCAACGAAUGAUGAUACCUUCCUUUGUAAAUCCUACUAAGGAGAGAGUUUGGAUUUUGCCAUAUUCGCCAUGCUUGUUUCGCCAAUAGAGCUUUGUUGAAACUAUAGAGGUCGCGAAAGCCCAUCCCCCCUUCUUUUUUUGGCAAGCACAAUCGUUUCCAAGAUAUCCAAGAAAUCUUCCUUCUCUCAUCUCCUGUUCCCCACCAAAACUCAGAGAGAAUGGAGUUUAUCUCAUCACAUAUUGUCUUUGGGACUAGAAAACAGCUCAUAGGAUAUACCGGUUUUGCUUGAAGAACCGAUUUUAUUAAGACCUCUUUACCUGCCUGCGAUAAAUUCUGAUUAUACCACUGAGAAGUAGCCUUUCUGAUUUGUUCCACAAUUCCUUUGAAAUCUUGAACUUUACUCUGACCAAACUGCUCUGGGAGACCAAGAUAUUUACCUCCACCUCCUGUUCGAUAAAUCUUCAAUAUAUUAUGAAUCCUAUUCUUCACUUGUUGAUCAACCCGCUUUCCAAAGAUGACUGAAGAUUUCUCUAAAUUAACUUUCUGUCCCGAAGUCUUCUCAUACAUAUCUAAUAUGUCUGCCAUACAUAAAGCAUUAUCCUCAUUAGCACGGCAAAAGAAGAGAGAGUCAUCAGCGAAUAAUAAGUGAGAGACCUUUGGGGCAAUGUCUAGAAAGUUUCAUCCCCUGAAAUCGAUUAGUUAUCUGAGCUUGAUCAAUCAUUUGGCUUAAGGCUUCAGCACAAAGGAGGAAAAGAUAUGGUGAUAGAGUAUCUCCUUGUCUUAUCCCCCUUGAAGGUUUUAUCAUUCCAUAUGGGCAACCAUUAAUCAGAACCGAAUAAGACACCGUAGUAAUACAAGACAUAAUCCAAGAUAUGGAGAUAGGAUGAAAUCCAAGCUUGGUCAUGAUGCUUUCUAAAAAACUCCACUCUACCCGAUCGUACGCUUUGCUAAUGUCUGUCUUGAUGGCCAUAUAUUGUUCAGAACAAUCUUUCUUAGACUUCAGAGCGCUUAUCAGUUCAUGUGCCACUAAAAUAUUAUCAGAAAUCUGGCGACCCGGAACAAAAGCAGCUUGUGAUUCAGAAAUUAUCACAUCCAAACACCUCUGAAUUCGAAUACCCAAAACCUUUGAUAUCAAUUUAUACGCCACAGUACAGAGACUUAUCGGACGGUACUCUCCCAUAUCUGCAGCCUCUGGAAACUUUGGAAGUAAUACUAUAUUUGUGUGGUUAAUCCCAUUAUCCAUGAUACCACUCUCAAAGAAUCUUCGAACCAUGUUACAAACAUCUGGACCGAUUGUAUCCCAAAAUUGUUUAUAAAAAGCAGCCGUGAAGCCAUCUGGGCCAGGUGCUCUGUCUGCUCCAAUGAGAUCCAAAGCGUCUUUUAUUUCUCUAUCUGUGACUGGGGCAAUGAGUUGAGCGUUCAUCUCCAUCGUGAUCUUAGGUUGAAUAUUAGGUAAGCAUUCGUCUAAUGGUAUUGUUGGAGUAGAAGAAAACAUGCUUUCAAAAUAAUCUUCAGCAACCUUUGCUAUAGUUUCCUCUUGUAUAUGGAAGACUCCAUUCUUAUCUCUCAUUUUCGAGAUUUUAUUUUUGCUUUUCUUCACUUUAGAAACCCCAUGGUAAAAUGGAGUGUUACGAUCCCCUAAAUUCAGCCACCGGUUCCUGCUUUUCAGCUUCCAAAACUCUUCUUCAUCUCUGUAUGCUUUAUUUAAGUUCACUCGUAGCUCUUGGAUUACUUCAAGUUGAACUGAGCUAUCUCGGAGAGCUUGAUCUAUUUGCCCUCUAAUCACACUUAUACGAACUGCAGAAUUCGUUUGGUGUCUUCUCUUCCAGUUAACAAUCUGAUUCCGACAAUGGCCCAGUUUCUGAUUCCAACCUCUGAUGAAUUCUGUCUGAUCCCAAGCUCCAGAAACUGUCUCCACAAAACUCUGAUCUUCGAAUAGUCUUUUAUCAUAGCAAAAGAGUCCUUUCCUUCGUUGAUAUUUGUAAUCAAUUGACACAAUCAUGGGUCUAUGAUCCGAUUCUGCAAUCUCCAAAUAUUCAGUACUAGAAUUUGGAAAUUUAUUCAUCCAUGAGGGGUUUACCAUCACUCUAUCCAAGCAGCAUUCAAUGAUAUCAUUUCUUCGACGACCAACCCAACUGAACUGAUUACCAGUAUGUUUGAGAUCCUUCAUGUCACAAAUCUGUAGCAUCGUAUUAAAAUUCUGAAAACUCGACAUUGAUCUUGUCCUUCCCCCUAUCUUCUCCUCUGAUUUUGUUAUCUCAUUACAAUCACCACACAACAUCCAAGGCCCCACACGGGUAGUGGCUAUUCUUUGAAGUCUUUCCCACAGAAGAUGUCUAUAUUUCGGUUGAGGGUGCCCAUAUACACAAGACAAAUAAAACUGAAAACAUUGAUAUUCAACAUGAAGGUCUACAAGUCUUUCAUCACUGGAAAUGCAAGAAACAGAAACAUAUGACUUCCAAAAUACAGCUAAACCACCACUAUAACCAAUCGGUGGAACUAAUAUCAUAUGAUCAAAACCAAGAUCCACCCCAAUAUCUCUAACAACAUCGUUAGCUUGCUUGGUUUCAAUCAGGAACAACAAGUCUGGAUGAUACAAACGUUGCAUCUCCUUUAGACGUCGAACUGUCAAGCGUUGUCCCAGCCCUCGACAGUUCCACACCUCGACUCUCAUGGUUCAUCUGGUGGAACCGGGCCCACCGCGCCUCUGUCGAUCUGUGGAUUGUUGUCAUGAGCUUGAUCCUGACCAUAAUCUUCCUGAAGCUUUCGCAGAGCAUUGAACUCAUGAGACAUCUUCAUCCUUCCAACAGGAAACUUAUCAACCAUCUCAGACUCCAUCCUUGGACGUUUACCCAGAGAAGAUAUCUCCUUUGAAACACCCUGAUCAUCCGCAUGCUGCAUCGCGGCAUGGAUAUGAUCCAUCUCAUGAUCGAAGUCCUCCUGAAGGAACGAUCCAUACUGGCUGAAACCAAACUCAGAGGAUCUACGAGCUUCCAUCGCCAGGAUUAUGUGAUCACUCUCCUCAUCUGAUUCAUUCUCUUGUCUCAAACACAUCUCAGUACCACUACCUCUCUGGCGACUAGAGCUUCCUUCUUCUAGCAGAGCAGCCACGAAAUCAUUCCUUCGCUUCAUCCGAACCUCACCAGUGUUUUGCUCAUAUCCUUGGCUAGUUAUAACCAUAGGAGCAGUAGAGCUAAAUUGCUGCAGCAAUGCAACAUGAGAACCAGGACCCGUUUCACCAUCAUUCACCUGAUCCAUGGGAAUGUCGUGAGCAGGACCAUCUGGUGCCACCGCUGCGUCCUCCUCAUUUUCCUCACCUCCGGCCUGGUCAUUUGGAGGAUCUUCUUCCUCAUUGUUAGCAUCCAUCUGAUCCACCACUGCUGCAGGAGGACAUUCACCGGAGUCAUGGGUAAUCAUCCCACACUGAUCACAAAAACCCCUGAGUCGUUCGUAACGGAACUUCAGCAGAGUAUUAACUCCAGGGGAGAAUUGGAAGUUUCUCUGAAACUUGAGAGGGUUGCCUACGUUCCAGUUGAGUCGAAUACGAACAAAUUCCACCGCAGCGUUAACACUUGGGUUGAAAUCCACCGUCAUGACUUCCCCCAUUCUAUCACCAAUGUUGUGGAUCACCUGUUCGGUAAGAUACUCCAAAGGAAUACCCCUAAUUUGCACCCACAGAGGUAUAUAGUUGAGAUCAGCGUCAUCCAUACCCGGAACCCAUCGACUAAUGAUCAGCAUUCUUUCAUUGAACGCCCAUGGACCUCUGUUAAUCACCGACAGAAGCAUUUCUUCGGUUGGAAAGACAAACUGGAACUUCCUCCUAUCAACGAUACGUCCAGAGAUGAGACCAGGAAGACCCCACAUUUUAGGCAGGGAGGUCAGGAGCGCCCUCACGUUUUGCUUCGUUUGCAUAGAUGGUCUCCCAAUCAAAGAAAAUUGAUUCACCCGGCGCGCUUCAUUACAAACCGCCGCAGAGAGAGGCACCGGAUCAUCAUCAAUACCCAAAUUCAGAUCCUGAAUCGCCCUUCGCAAAUUAUCCGCCAUGAUCGCAAGACUACAAUCAAAACGAUAUGUGUACAGGAUUUGUGAAGUGAUUUUCUGAAUCGGGGAGGAAAAAUUGUGAAGAUAUAUAAACCCCCCAUCCAUAACAAUAACUAUCAAAAACUGCUUCAUCGUGGUGAAGUUUGUACUCCACUACGGAGAUGGAAGAAUCAUGGGUGUUAACUUGCGUAAACCAACCCACUAUCAAAUCAAAUUGGGAACCAAAAGAUCUGGAUUCUUCAAAGAAAAACCAGAAGAAUAACCGCUUCACGAUCGCCUUAUCAAUCGCCAAUAACCGCUUCACGAUCGCCAUCGCUUCAAACUGCCCAAGCUUCUUAUUCAUCAAAAAUUCAAAAUUUCGAUUUUCAUUUUCACAGAAAUAAUGUUUAUUUGAUAGAUGAGUGUUCAUGUUAUUGUUUUAUAUAUUUUGAUUGAUUUAUAAAUCCAAGUAAAAUAUACAGAUUUUUUAAAAAUUUCGGAUUAGUAUUUACAAAUUCUGAGGUUUACUCUCGGAUUUGAGUCUUUGUAUCUUUAACAAAAAAAUCCAAACAAAUCUAUUCAAAUCGAUUAUAAAAUCAAAUUUAUUAGUAAAUCCGUACGAUUGAAUAACAGUUGAUUUGAUAUAGAAUUUAUGAAUAAUUAAACUAAAAGAGAAAGACUUGGGUUCACCCCUAUGGUGAACAUUUAGAUUCACCAACCAAUCAAAAAUUAGCAUUCUACAUGUAGUCUUUUUCAUAAAAAGAAACAAAAUAUUUCGAAUUUACAUCUUAAAAUAAAUAGAUAAAAAAUAAAUAAAAAAUAUUAGUAGCUGUAAAAAAAACAAAAUUCUAAAAAUUGUUAACGUCCACACUAAAUCGUAAACCCUAAAUCAUAAACACUAAACCUAAACCCUAAACACUAACCCCUAAAUUCUUAGAUAAACCCUAAACCCUUGUGCAAAUCAUAAAUCCUUAGAUAAACCCUAAAAGCUAAACCCUAAAAUUUAAAGUAAACCCUAAACCCUUGGGUAAAUCUGAAACCCUUGGGUAAAUCUUAAUCUUUGGGCAAAUUUUAAACCAUUGAAUAAAAUCUUUUGGGUUUAGGAUUUUAUCCGAAGGUUUAGGAUUUAUCUAAGAAUUUAGGGUUUAUCCGGUUUCUUGCCAAAACCGUAAAAACGUAUUUUACUGCCAAAACCGCAAAAAUGUGUUCUCCCCCCCCCCCCNNNNNNNNNNNNNNNNNNNNNNNNNNNNNNNNNNNNNNNNNNNNNNNNNNNNNNNNNNNNNNNNNNNNCCCCCCCCCCCCCCCCCAAACCGCAAAACAUGUUUUUCAGCCAAAACCACAAAAAUAUGGUUUCUUGCCAAAACUGUAAAAACGCAUUUUACUGCCAAAACCGCAAAAACGUGUUUUCCCGUCAAAACCACAAAAAUACAUUUCCUGUCAACAUCUCUUUAAAUUUAUAAGGAAAAAACGUAUUGAGACGAAACCUCUUUAAAUUUAUUAUCUUUUAGCAAAUUAUACAAACAACAAAAUCUUACUCAAACUGGAUAAAGUACAAGAGAUCACAUAUGCUCUGAAGCUCUUUCCAAAGCCUAACAACCAUUCAAAAAUCAUAUUUCUUACCCAACCACAUAAAACUCAUGAAAUCGGCUUGCAGAGGAGGAUGGUUUGCAAAACUAAGGCGGACAAGUCCAUGAAAUGAAAGAGAUCCAAAAUCAAAUUGAGAAAAUCAAGCGGAUAAAAGUACAAGAGAUGGCUUUAUUUUUUUUUUUUGCAUGGUUUGCAAACUUUGAGGGGGACAACGUCCAUGAAAGAGAAACUUUGAAAACCAAAAGCGCACUAGUUGUUGUUUCCUCAUUCUCUCUGAAGUUGAUGGAAAUUUAAUUCGCAAAGGUGAGGAUAAAUAAUAAAAUGAGAGAUAUCCACCACUCACAAAGUCUUAAAGUAAACAAAAUGUCAAGCAAGAUAAUAUGUUUCGUUAAGUCAACAUCCUAAACCUUUAUUCAAAAGCAUAAUAAAUAAAAGGAGAAGAGCAAAUUAAUUCCCAGAAGGGAGAAACCAUCGAGCAUCCAUGAGAUCCAUCUUGUUAAGAUUGUGAUAGCGAUGGAGGGUCUUCGUUGCAAGAUUGUACACACAGAUGUCAAGGUCGCGAGGUGAGCAAUGGCAGGGACGAAAGUGACGGGUGAAAUAGAUGGAGUCUGGUUCGAUACCAAGGGCCUUGUUAGCAGGCACAGCAAAACCCAAGUCAAGAAGCAGAGCCUCACCACCAAGAGAAUGUACCUCAGUAACCGUGUGGCAGGCGUGAUCUGGGUCUUCUACAUCAGGAUCCUUCUUGUAGAGGCGGAACCAGGUCCUACUGGAUGGAUCACUCUCAACCAACAAAACCUCUCCUGAUGAUGUUGUAACCGCAAUGCUAGAAUCGUAGGCGUAAUCAUGAUGAGAAAGCAUUGGGAAUGGUAUUUGACCGGUAAUGUCCUUGAAGAAACCUUGCGGUCCAGACAGAUCAAAGACUCGAACAAAACGACGACUUGUUGAGACGUAGAGGCGG
This 18042-nucleotide long non-coding RNA is filed under the name Brassica napus (rape). Its description in RNAcentral is "long non-coding RNA (BNAP_LNC000207)". The record is from RNAcentral. Lineage: Eukaryota; Viridiplantae; Streptophyta; Magnoliopsida; Brassicales; Brassicaceae.